Molecule: non-coding RNA, 1016 nt
Organism: Paramuricea clavata
Lineage: Eukaryota; Metazoa; Cnidaria; Anthozoa; Malacalcyonacea; Plexauridae
Source: the annotation of a GenBank genome assembly
GUUUAGUCGGUUUAAAUGUUAGAAUUUUCUUCUUUAAACUUUAAUGUUGUCGUCACUACAUCUGGAAAACCACGUAAGAACAAAUUAAAAGUAUUUUAAAAGAGAUCAGGUUGUUUGAAAAUCCUAAACGAAUGCUAAAAAUCAUAGAAUAAAAACAUUCUGGUGUCUGAGCCAGAGUGUCAUCGAAUUGCGAUGUAAUGUAAACAGAAAUUAUAGCAAGUUGAUGUCAGUCAGCUUAGAUGGUCCAAGCCAAAAUUAUAUCGCAUUUGAAGUUUAAAACUGAGUUAAAAAUAGUGGAAGAAAAGCCGUAAUUAUACUUAUUGUUACAAUCCAUUUAUUAAAAUGCAACAUUUUUUUGUUUUGAUGAAAAAAUCAGUUAUUUUCAUGAGAACGAUUUGUUAUUCCAUCUCAAUUUUUUUAAUCUCCAAUCGCAAUGACGUAAAGUAUUAUUACCCGCGAACCAAUGAGUCAAAUUUAAGAAACAACCUACUGUUAGAAAGCUGAAUGGCUACGCUUUAAAAUGAAUGUAAACUUUAACGUUUUCGUAUAUUAUUUGUUUAGCAAUUUACAUUUCAGUCGAGGAUUGCGCUUUUUUUGAUACACCCUGUAUAGCCCGACGUUUGGGGUCAAGUAUUUCUGCUCAUAACUCAGAAAAACUAUUUUGGCUUCAUCAAAUCAUAGGCCUUCAUCAUAGCAGUUAGCCUUCCAGUUGAUUUAUAGUUCAAUGGUUUACACUUGUACCAGAUAGCUUUCCGUAGCGAAAAAAACACCUAUCCGUAUCUUUAGGAAUUAAUGGAGAGAUGAUGUUUCGCUCAGCUUCUGAAAGUUGUACAUUCCGUAUCUGAUAGUUGCUUUUUCGCGCCGCUACGGAAACCUAUCCGGUAUAGUGUCAAGGUCGCCUGAAUCAUAACAUGUAAAGCAAAAUAAAGAAAGGUACACUUACAGUUAAACCGAAUGUUUUCUUGCGAGUAACAUUGCAAUAUUGUCCCAUAAUAUGUUAGAAAUAAAUAUUGUUG